GAACAAUAUCCCACUGUAUACAUGGACCACAUCUUCAUCCACGUAUCCAGAGAUGGACAGUUACGUUGUUUUCAUAUCUUGGCUACUGAGAUGGUCAUUCUGACAGGUGUGAAGUGAUACCUCAUUGUGUUUUGGAUGUGCAUUUUGGUGAUAAAAAUAGUGAUGGUCGCCUUAUGUAGCUGAUUGUUUCCAUUGCUGCGAAGAAACUGUACUUGAGUGUAGCCCUCGUCGACGUUUGCUUUUGUGGCCUCUGAGUUUGGUGCCCCAUGCUGCUGGUCCUGCAGUUUCUGUUUAUGUUUCUGCUCUGCUGAUUCGUCAUUCUAUUGUUUGCCUAUCAGCCUCUCCAUUUGGUGGGGGCAAUAGUUUGCCCUGUUACUUGAGUUCUCUGAUUAAACUAAGGAAGUGAAUGGUUUUCAUUUUAUCUAGCUUUGUAAAAUUUUGUGGGAGGGCAUGAUCACUUCCAAGCCCCUUACAUGCUAGAGUAGAAACUGGAAGUUUCUUACCUUUAUGUUUUUAAAAUAUUGUUUCUGAAGUGAUACAAUUAUUCACAUGAAAUAUAUCCUUGGUCAUUCUGUUAACAGGUUGAAUUUGUUCUCCUUGGUCCUUGUACCCACCCACAACAAAGAAUUGAAAGGCAAAGA
This is a long non-coding RNA of Manis pentadactyla (Chinese pangolin), 641 nucleotides long. RefSeq lists it as uncharacterized. The record is from RefSeq and is a predicted model, not a curated record. NCBI's taxonomy places the organism in Eukaryota, Metazoa, Chordata, Mammalia, Pholidota, Manidae. The transcript is spliced from 3 exons.